AAAAAUUUCGUCAAACAUUUUUCCCGCCAAAAAAAAAUAUUCUCGCCAAAAAUUUUUACAACCAAAAAAUUGCUUCUAAAAAUCCUUGUAAUUUUUUUUUUGCGGGAAAUAGAUUUACAAGGGAUUUUAAAAGGGUUUUAAAAGAUUUACAAUGGAUUUUAAAAGGUUUUAAAAAAUUUUACAAGAGUUUUUAAAGAAUCUUCUUGUAAACUCUUUAAAAAUCUUUUAAAAACCCUUGUACAUAUCUUAAAACCCUUUUAAAAUCUCUUGUAAAUCUUUAAAACCCUUUUAAAAUCCCUUGUAAAUCUUUUAAAACCCUUUUAAAAUCCCUUGUAAAUCUUUUAACACCCUUUUAAAAUCACUUGUAAAUAUUUUAAAACACUUUUCAAACAAUUUUGAACCCUUUAAAAAUCUUUAUAAAACCUUUGUAAAUCUUUUAAAGCCCUUUAAAAUCUCUUAUAAAUCUUUUAAAACCCUUUUAAAAUCCCCUGUAAAACUUUUAAAACCCUUUUAAAAUCCCUUGUAAAUCUUUUUAAACCCUUUUAAAAUCCUUGUAAAUAUUUUAAAAUCCCGUGUAAUUCUUUUAAAACUCUUUUAAAAUCUCGUGUAAAUUUGGCGGGAAAAAUAUUUUUGGAAAA
This 638-nucleotide small RNA is filed under the name Arabidopsis thaliana (thale cress). Its description in RNAcentral is "ATSL079810". The record is from RNAcentral. Lineage: Eukaryota; Viridiplantae; Streptophyta; Magnoliopsida; Brassicales; Brassicaceae.